UGCCUAAUACAUGCAAGUCGAGCGGACAGAAGGGAGCUUGCUCCCGGAUGUUAGCGGCGGACGGGUGAGUAACACGUGGGUAACCUGCCUGUAAGACUGGGAUAACUCCGGGAAACCGGAGCUAAUACCGGAUAGUUCCUUGAACCGCAUGGUUCAAGGAUGAAAGACGGUUUCGGCUGUCACUUACAGAUGGACCCGCGGCGCAUUAGCUAGUUGGUGAGGUAACGGCUCACCAAGGCGACGAUGCGUAGCCGACCUGAGAGGGUGAUCGGCCACACUGGGACUGAGACACGGCCCAGACUCCUACGGGAGGCAGCAGUAGGGAAUCUUCCGCAAUGGACGAAAGUCUGACGGAGCAACGCCGCGUGAGUGAUGAAGGUUUUCGGAUCGUAAAGCUCUGUUGUUAGGGAAGAACAAGUGCAAGAGUAACUGCUUGCACCUUGACGGUACCUAACCAGAAAGCCACGGCUA
This 471-nucleotide ribosomal RNA is filed under the name marine sediment bacterium ISA-7217. RNAcentral's name for it is "bacterial SSU rRNA". It matches the Rfam family "Bacterial small subunit ribosomal RNA", at positions 45 to 499 of the family's 1533-position model. The record is from RNAcentral.